UUGCAUAUCCAGAAAGAGCACAUAAAGCGUUUUUCAAUGGUAAGUACAAAGCUUUAGCUUUGUGCACCUUACAGUAGUUGAAUGGAAAUCUAAUAUAUGCAUUCAUCUUCUAAAUUCAUUACAGCUUAUUUUAGUUGAUGGACUAUUUGUUUCUUUGUUUUGACCAAUAAGACUGAAUAAAUGGCAUUUCCAGAGGACGACAUAUAGCAUCCUUCAUUUCUAGUUUCUAAAUGUCCCUCUUAUAAUUGAUAUAUAAAUAAAGGUACAUGUCAGUGGUCAAUAUCUUCUUCUAACUAUUAAGUGUUUGACUACUACGAACAAUUGCCCAGUUCAGAAAGCUAUGAAGAGCUAGCAUAAAAUGAGAGGAAAAUGCUGGAUCAAAGAAUCAAGGAAGUACUGGGCUGACUAUUCUGAACAGAUGACAUCAAUAACAACAUCUGGGGCCAACAUUUAAGCUGAAAAAAACAACAAAAAAGUGGCUCGGCACCACGGUGGCUCACGCCAGUAAUCUCAGCACUUUAGGAGGCUCAGGUUGGGGGAUCACGAGUUCAGGAGAUAGAGAUUAUCCUGGCUAACUUGGUGAAACCCCAUCUCUAUUAAAAAUACAAAAAAUUAGGUGGGCAUGGUGGCACCCGCCUAUAGUCCCAGCUACUCGGGAGGCUAAGGCAGGAGAAUCAUUUGAACCUGGGAGGCGAAGGUUGCAGUGAGCUGAGAUUCCACCACUGCACUCAAACCUGGGCAACAGAGCAAGACUCCGUCAAAAAAAAAAAAAAAAGGUUAAAAGUAGAAACUACUCAAAGUUAUCUUAUUUUAAAAAAUAAUUACUUAACUUCUACAUCUCUUCUUAAUUAUAAAUCUAUCUUAAUAUUCCAGAAUAGACCACUAUCUUUAUUUCCUGCUCUGCCAACAUGGUUUCAAAAACAAAUCAAGUUGCUUUUCGGCUAUCAUUACCUACAACAGUUUUGCCAGCGCCACUUGGCUGCGGUAAUCGUGAAGAUCCUGAUGAUGCAGUUCCAGGAGAAUUUGACUUUUUAAGUGCGGGUGGCUUAUACUAAAAUAAUGGAAAAAAAAUAUUAAUCAACAUCACUUUUUGAUUAUGGAUUGUAAAGUAGUGGUUCAAAACUUAACAUUCUUUGGGUUUAGGAUUUCAGCCUUACAAGAUGAAAAGAGUUGUGGAAAUGAAUGGUGAUGAUGGUUGCACAUCAUUAAUGUAUUAAAACACUUGUAAGUAUACACUGAAUUGUAUUCUUAAAAACGAUUAAGAUGGUAAAGUUUAUGCUACAUGUAUUAUACCACAGUAAAAAAAUAAUUGGAAAGAAACAGCUCACAUUCCCUUAAAUGAACAGUCUUUUCUACUGAAUUAUACAAAUUGAGGAAGUAUAGAUUAAAAUAUAUCACCUCAAAGGUUUUCCAAACUAGACUCCCUCUCAGAUGCUCCACUGCUAAAACAAACUAACAGCAACUUUUUCAGUUCACAGGAAAAAGAAAAAAAGGUCUAACGGAAAAAACUUCCUCAAAGUUAAGAUUUUAAACACCAAACAAACAUUAGUAGAAAAACUUAGAAACAGCUAUGGUGCAGCUUUAAAGGUCAAGAUUUUUAUAUGUUCCUGGAUGUGUUUUUAUAUUCCAUAUAUAUAAUUCAGCCAUAUUUCCUACUGAUAAAAACCGUAAGAUGACCUAGGACCUGAACAAGUUUUACAACAGCUGCAUUAUGGAUUUCCCUGAUAUGAAGAGAAAGAGCUAAUUCUGGCUUCACGAUCCUCACCAGACCAUCUUAAAUUAAUGGAGUAUGCAUUGACCUAAGAUCUUUCAGCUUAUCUUGGAUUUUUAUAUUUCUCUACUCCUCUAAAGAGACAUCUUUAUUAAUUUUAUUUUACUUUCUCUUUUUGAGCCAAAUUUUGCUCAGUUACCUGACAAUAAAAGUAUCUUACUGAUCACCUGCUUCAAUAGCAAGAAAUGAACUUGCCCAGGGUUAUGCCCCAACUUCACAGCAGAGCAGGAAUUUAGACUC
Molecule: long non-coding RNA, 2011 nt
Filed under: Homo sapiens (human)
Lineage: Eukaryota; Metazoa; Chordata; Mammalia; Primates; Hominidae
Description: non-protein coding lnc-IL7-2:3
Source: RNAcentral